This is an RNA transcript of Ornithodoros turicata, 1593 nucleotides long. It is a transcript of the gene named baculoviral IAP repeat-containing protein 2-like, with no coding region annotated. The transcript is spliced from 4 exons. NCBI's taxonomy places the organism in Eukaryota, Metazoa, Arthropoda, Arachnida, Ixodida, Argasidae. The record is from RefSeq and is a predicted model, not a curated record.
GGAAGUGUCAAUUUAAGAGCAACGGGCGCGGAUUAAAGAUUGCUUCGAACGUGAUUAUCAUACAUUCAUUUCAGUUGCUUUGUCAAAGACAAGAGGGAGUACUACAUCAAUCAAACACGGACCUCCGGACGGUAUUCGGAUUGCGACGGCAUUCGAUUGUCUUCCACACUCAACGGAGCGGGACCGGCUUGCAACCUUUCUUCCUGCACUGCUUCUGCCCAAAUUCCUCAGAUAUCAAGAUUGUGGUGGCAGCACUGUGCGCCUACAGAACCUACAAAAGGACGCUACACCCCUCAGAUCACUGCAGUCAGCGGCUUGUUUGACUGUUACUCAUAUCUGCUUCUGAUGUAUGAAUAGGCACUGUCAUGGUGGAUGCUGCCUCUGAGAUAAGACCUGAACUAGCCUACCAUUCAGAAGACGUCUGUGGAAAGAAGUACUCAUACCUCGCGCCUCCAGAAUCGCAUGGAAAUCGCGUGAAGCAGUAUGCUGUGCGCCACAGCAAGCCCAUACAUGAGAGGUACGCGUCGUUGGCUAGCAGAAAAUCAUCGUUCGACAUUUAUCCUGCAACUGCGAAAGGAGACACAGAAAAAAUGGCAAAAGCUGGAUUCUUCUACACUGGUGCUCAAGAUCGCACAACCUGGUUUCAGUGCGGCAGCUAUAUUUGCAGUUGGAGCGAUGAAGACGACCCAUUAUUUGAACACGCCAGGUGGUACAGGGACUGUCCUUACGUCAUUCUGCAGCUUGGUGAUGAGGCUAUCGAGAACAUUAGACGCGAACACAGCAAUACACUGGCAGAGGUAAUUUACCCUCCGCCCGCGUUAAAGCUGCCCAACCUAGAGGAAUCUAGUGAAUCAAGCGCUUGUACAACCGCAGCGUGUGCCGUGAUAAUAGCAUAGGGCGCAAAUUGUACGUAGUAGCUGAGUUGUGGCAGGUUGCUUUGGGGUGUUUGUUUACAGCCUUCUGUUCCUGUAUUUGGUGGUCAUUUCCCCCUGCAAGCGCUCCUCCUUCACUGUGCAUACUGAACAUCCUAAGUUGUUUUGUUCUAAAUUUGCUAAAUAUUUUUCGAAUGAUUUACUUCGUUGUACACUGCACCUUCCCGUUGUUGUUUUGUCGUACGCAUUUUCUGCAUGCUUUCCUGCUGUUCCGUUCCUGGUGGUUUUGUUAUAAAGAUCUCACUGAAUGCUUUGCGGUUGGAACAACAACAACUUUAUUUUGUCUCUGAAGAGUGGGGAGGUUCAUCGCCAGAGGGGAUACUCUACCCUAUUGCUGGUGGGGAUGCAGGGAAUAAAAUAACGAGCCCCUUCACAAUAACGACCGAAGUCCGAUGGUGUCCAGAAAUGUCAAAAGAGCUUUGAGCGCAGAUCAUUGCUGGGCUGGAUUGGGUCAGGGACCAAGCAAUUUCGAUAGAGAGAAAGAGCGAGAGUACAGCUGACGAAGAGACCCGGAGAGUGCGGUUCGGUAAGGGUGGUAGUUGGGGCAAUGAAGAAGAAUAUGCUCCUGAUCCUCAAGAGCACCACAGUGGCAGCAGGAGGGAGAGUCAACUUGUCUCAAGCGGUAACGCCAGUGAGCUGUAAAGCAGCAUGGUAGAAAAGC